GACGAACGCUGGCGGCGUGCUUAACACAUGCAAGUCGAACGGAAAGGCCCUGCUUGCAGGGUACUCGCGUGGCGAACGGGCGAGUAACACGUGGGUGAUCUGCCCUGCACUUCGGGAUAAGCCUGGGAAACUGGGUCUAACACCGGAUAGGAGCCAUUUUUAGUGUGAUGGUUGGAAAGUUUUUUCGGUGUAGGAUGUGCUGGGGGCCUAUCAGCUUGUUGGUGGGGUAAUGGCCUACCAAGGCGGCGACGGGUAGCCGGCCUGAGAGGGUGGACGGCCACAUUGGGGCCGAGAUGCGGCCCAGACACCUACGGGAGGCAGCAGGGGGGAAUAUUGCACGAGGGGCGCAAGCCUGAUGCAGCGACGCCGCGGGGGGGAUGACGGCCUUCGGGGUGUAAACUCCUUGCGCUAGGGACGAAGCUUUUUGUGACGGUACCUAGUUAAGAAGCACCGGCUAACUACGUG
RNAcentral lists this ribosomal RNA (465 nucleotides) under uncultured bacterium. Its description in RNAcentral is "partial 16S ribosomal RNA". It matches the Rfam family "Bacterial small subunit ribosomal RNA", at positions 28 to 507 of the family's 1533-position model. The record is from RNAcentral.